RNA transcript from Olea europaea var. sylvestris, 1592 nucleotides. RefSeq lists it as uncharacterized. Lineage: Eukaryota; Viridiplantae; Streptophyta; Magnoliopsida; Lamiales; Oleaceae. The transcript is spliced from 5 exons. The record is from RefSeq and is a predicted model, not a curated record.
ACGAAAAAAUUGGGGUGUUUAAGUUCAAUUAAAAUGUUGUGUAUCUAUCUAUUUAAAAAAUAAUAUCCGGCGAUUAUCUGUUUCAGACUAUGAUCUGAUUUUUUUUUUCAUGCCACUGGUCUCAAAUCUCAAUUGACGCAUAAACUCUAAACUUUAUAUAUCGAUAAAUUAUAAUUGCAUCAAAACAGAGAUAAGGAUUCACGAGAAGCAAUCAAUCAAGAAAUGGCAGUGAAUCCUAGGGUUUUGAAGGCAGGGCUGGGGAUGAUGGCAGUGUGCUUGGCAGGAUACAUAAUUGGCCCACCUCUGUAUUGGCACUUCGUGGAGGGAUUGGCUUCUGUAAGCCGCUCUUCCUCUUCUUGUGCUCCGUGCAUCUGUGACUGUGAUUCUGAGUCACUUCCAUCCAUCCCCAUAGCCCUGAGCAAUAUUUCCUUUGCAGAUUGUGCAAAGCGUGAUCCUGAUGUUAGUGAAGACACACAGAACAACUUUGCAGAGCUAUUGUCCGAGGAACUAAAGCUGCGAGAAUCCGAAGCAUUGGAAAAACAGCAGCAUUCAGACGUGGCAUUGCUCGAUGCCAAGAAGAUGACAUCUCAGUAUCAGAAAGAGGCAGACAAAUGCAAUUCUGGGAUGGAAACAUGCGAGGAGGCGAGAGAAAAGGCCGAAGUUUCUUUAUUGGCACAGAAGAGACUGACUUCUGUAUGGGAGCUUAGGGCACGACAAAGGGGAUGGAAAGGGGGAGUUUCCAAGUCUCGCGGGAAUGUACAGGCUAUAUAACUUCCCAAUGCGAUCCAUCAAAUUAACACAGGAAGGUGCAUCUUUGUAGGAACAAGUUCAUGAUUUCUUCCGUGGCAAGCUGCCUUGCUAGCAUCCCAAAUUGGAUUUAAUAGAGGGUCAUUUCAUUUUUCUCCAAGGAAGCAUCUUUUGUUCUAUAAGUUCUCAUCAGAAUCUAUCCUGGCCGGAUGGGUUUUUCUUGUGGACAGCCGCUUUUCUGUUCACCGAGUGCACUCGAGGUCGACAGAAAGAAUAUCGAAAACCCACCAAAUGCAUUGAAUCACAAACUGCGCCAGCUUCUUGUAGUCUCCUUUGACAAGCCAGAAAGGGUGUGAGAAAGAAUGGAGGAAGAGUUCUUUGAGAGGCUUAGAAUGCCGAUGUUGACAGUCGGAAGGAGCUGAAUACCGAGCCAUUUGUCAGCAUAAUAUGGCCGGAGCUGGUGAUCUCUGGUGAGAUCGAGAGGUUUUCUGUGACAUUGCAGCGAGGAAGCUAAAAAAAGAACUGCUGCAUGGGGAGAAAGGCACUGGCCGAGCUGGAUUUGGCAACCUUGGCGUCAAUCUGUCCCACUCCCACAUGUCGUCUAGUGCACUUACCAGUGACGGUACCCAAACGAUUAAGCUUCGUUCCAAGAGUCGAGAGAGAGAGAGUUCUUGAUCUGUAAAUUUCAAUAGAACUUGGAAAUGUCUCUUUGUCCAGGGCCACAUAGGUUUCCAGGGUGAAAAUCCAGGGCAGCAGGGCUCGUAGAACUUUUCUUUUCAGUCCAUCUUACUGUUUUUUUAAAUAAAAUAAUUAACAAGGCAAAUAUUGCAUUGGUAUUCAUCGAA